RNAcentral lists this ribosomal RNA (459 nucleotides) under uncultured bacterium. RNAcentral's name for it is "partial 16S ribosomal RNA". It matches the Rfam family "Bacterial small subunit ribosomal RNA", at positions 338 to 795 of the family's 1533-position model. The record is from RNAcentral.
CCUACGGGUGGCAGCAGUGAGGAAUAUUGGUCAAUGGUCGGGAGACUGAACCAGCCAAGCCGCGUGAGGGAUGAAGGUACAGAGUAUCGUAAACCUCUUUUGUCAGGGAACAAAGGCGGGGACGUGUCCCCGGAUGAGUGUACCUGAAGAACAAGCAUCGGCUAACUCCGUGCCAGCAGCCGCGGUAAUACGGAGGAUGCGAUCGUUCUCCGGUUUUGUUGGGUUAAAGGGGUGCGAAGGGGGUCUUUUAAGUCAGCGGUAAAAGCCCGGGGCUAAGCCCCGGCCCGCCGUUGAAACUGGCAGUCUCGAGUUGGAGAGAAGUAUGCGGAAUGCGCGGUGUAGCGGUGAAAUGCAUAGAUAUCGCGAAGAACUCCGAUUGCGAAGGCAGCAUGCCGGCUCCACACUGACGCUGAGGCACGAAAGCGUGGGUAUCGAACAGGAUUAGAUACCCUUGUAGUC